GUCUAUAGCCCCACCACCUUGAACAUACCUGACUUUAUCUGAUCUUGGAAGAUAAGCAGGUCAGGCCUGGUUUGUACUUGAAUGGGAAAGAGACAAGAACAAAAGUCC
RNAcentral lists this ribosomal RNA (108 nucleotides) under Erinaceus europaeus (western European hedgehog). The record is from RNAcentral. Lineage: Eukaryota; Metazoa; Chordata; Mammalia; Eulipotyphla; Erinaceidae.